AAAGAACUUUGAAAAGAGAGUGAAAAGCACUUGAAACCGUCACGGGGGAAGCGGAUUGCGUGAGUGAUGGUGUCGCUUGUUCAGCGCUUUAUUGCGUGCAUUCUGGCGGCGCCGUGCCGGCGUGGCUGGCUGGACUGUGAUUUUGACAGUCUCGGCUGGUGAGGGCUCCCUCGUAUGAGGUGAGGACGCGGGCAAAAUGACGCAAUACGACCCGUCUUGAAACACGGACCAAGGAGUCUAGCACGGCUGCGAGUCGAAGAGUGAUUAAACUCAAGGGCGCAGUGAAAGCGAAAUUAUAAGCAAAUUGGGGAGGCGUUGCGUUUUUAACAAAAUGUCCUACCUCGAGCAUUUGUGCUGGGACCCGAAAGAUGGUGAACUAUGCCGGAGUAGGGCAAAGCCAGAGGAAACUCUGGUGGAGGCUCGUAGCGAUGCUGACGUGCAAAUCGCUCGUCGAACUUGGGUAUAGGGGCGAAAGACUAAUCGAACCAUCUAGUAGCUGGUUCCCUCCGAAGUUUCUCUCAGGAUAGCGGGCCGACACGCGUUUGUUGUUUUGUGCGGUAAAGCGAAUGAUUAGUGCAUUUGGGGUACGAAGUACUUCGGGCGAUUCUCAAACUUUAAAUGCGCAAGGGGGUGGCUGCUUAAUUGAGCCUACUCUUUGAAAAACGUCGGCCCUGUGGGCCACUUUUGGUAAGCAGAACUGGCGAUAAGGGAUGAACCUUAAGCGCGGU
Molecule: ribosomal RNA, 728 nt
Filed under: Palmaria palmata (dulse)
Lineage: Eukaryota; Rhodophyta; Florideophyceae; Palmariales; Palmariaceae
Description: eukaryotic LSU rRNA
Rfam family: Eukaryotic large subunit ribosomal RNA
Source: RNAcentral